RNAcentral lists this ribosomal RNA (443 nucleotides) under uncultured bacterium. Its description in RNAcentral is "bacterial SSU rRNA". It matches the Rfam family "Bacterial small subunit ribosomal RNA", at positions 774 to 1207 of the family's 1533-position model. The record is from RNAcentral.
AGUCAAUAGAUACCCUGGUAGUCCACGCCGUAAACGAUGAGUACUAGGUGUAGGAGGUAUCGACUCCUUCUGUGCCGCAGUUAACACAAUAAGUACUCCGCUUGGGAAGUACGGUCGCAAGAUUAAAAACUCAAAGGAAUUGACGGGGGCCCGGCACAAGCAGCGGAGCAUGUGGUUUAAUUCGAAGCAACGCGAAGAACCUUACCUAGACUUGACAUCUCCUGAAUAGCGCAGAGAUGCGUGAAGCCCGUUCGGGUCGAGGAAGACAGGUGGUGCAUGGUUGUCGUCAGCUCGUGUCGUGAGAUGUUGGGUUAAGUCCCGCAACGAGCGCAACCCGUAUUAUUAGUUGCUACCAUUAAGUUGAGCACUCUAAUGAGACUGCCCGGGUUAACCCGGGGUAGGAAGGCGGGGUAUGACGUCAAACUACAUCAUGCCCCGUUACU